RNAcentral lists this unclassified non-coding RNA (245 nucleotides) under Hevea brasiliensis (rubber tree). The record is from RNAcentral. Lineage: Eukaryota; Viridiplantae; Streptophyta; Magnoliopsida; Malpighiales; Euphorbiaceae.
CAAUCCAAAGAAGCAGCAAUGGUUGGUGCCGCAACAGAAAGCUCUGCAGCUUGCUGCACGGUCCAUUUCCCAGUUCCUUUCAUUCCGGUCUUAUCCAAAAUCUUAUCCACUAAUUCCCCCUCUCCAUGAUCAUCCUUAACUCUGAAAAUAUCCGAUGUAAUCUCAAUCAGAAAGCUCUCCAGCUCUCCUUUGUUCCACUCUGUGAAAAUCUCCGCUAAUUCCGCGUUGGACAAUCCGCCCACAUU